Molecule: ribosomal RNA, 1143 nt
Filed under: Salmonella enterica
Lineage: Bacteria; Pseudomonadati; Pseudomonadota; Gammaproteobacteria; Enterobacterales; Enterobacteriaceae
Description: partial 23S ribosomal RNA
Rfam family: Bacterial large subunit ribosomal RNA
Source: RNAcentral
AAUGGGUCAGCGACUUAUAUUCUGUAGCAAGGUUAACCGAAUAGGGGAGCCGCAGGGAAACCGAGUCUUAAUUGGGCGUUAAGUUGCAGGGUAUAGACCCGAAACCCGGUGAUCUAGCCAUGGGCAGGUUGAAGGUUGGGUAACACUAACUGGAGGACCGAACCGACUAAUGUUGAAAAAUUAGCGGAUGACCUGUGGCUGGGGGUGAAAGGCCAAUCAAACCGGGAGAUAGCUGGUUCUCCCCGAAAGCUAUUUAGGUAGCGCCUCGUGAAUUCAUCUCCGGGGGUAGAGCACUGUUUCGGCUAGGGGGCCAUCCCGGCUUACCAACCCGAUGCAAACUGCGAAUACCGGAGAAUGUUAUCACGGGAGACACACGGCGGGUGCUAACGUCCGUCGUGAAGAGGGAAACAACCCAGACCGCCAGCUAAGGUCCCAAAGUCAUGGUUAAGUGGGAAACGAUGUGGGAAGGCCCAGACAGCCAGGAUGUUGGCUUAGAAGCAGCCAUCAUUUAAAGAAAGCGUAAUAGCUCACUGGUCGAGUCGGCCUGCGCGGAAGAUGUAACGGGGCUAAACCAUGCACCGAAGCUGCGGCAGCGACGCUGAUGCGUUGUUGGGUAGGGGAGCGUUCUGUAAGCCUGUGAAGGUGUGUCGUGAGGCAUGCUGGAGGUAUCAGAAGUGCGAAUGCUGACAUAAGUAACGAUAAAGCGGGUGAAAAGCCCGCUCGCCGGAAGACCAAGGGUUCCUGUCCAACGUUAAUCGGGGCAGGGUGAGUCGACCCCUAAGGCGAGGCCGAAAGGCGUAGUCGAUGGGAAACGGGUUAAUAUUCCCGUACUUGGUGUUACUGCGAAGGGGGGACGGAGAAGGCUAUGUUGGCCGGGCGACGGUUGUCCCGGUUUAAGCGUGUAGGUGUGUGUUCCAGGUAAAUCCGGUUCACUUUAACACUGAGGCGUGAUGACGAGGCACUACGGUGCUGAAGCAACAAAUGCCCUGCUUCCAGGAAAAGCCUCUAAGCAUCAGGUAACAUCAAAUCGUACCCCAAACCGACACAGGUGGUCAGGUAGAGAAUACCAAGGCGCUUGAGAGAACUCGGGUGAAGGAACUAGGCAAAAUGGUGCCGUAACUUCGGGAGAAGGCACGCUGACAC